This 899-nucleotide ribosomal RNA is filed under the name Saccharomyces cerevisiae (brewer's yeast). Its description in RNAcentral is "SSU rRNA". It matches the Rfam family "Eukaryotic small subunit ribosomal RNA", at positions 43 to 951 of the family's 1831-position model. The record is from RNAcentral. Lineage: Eukaryota; Fungi; Ascomycota; Saccharomycetes; Saccharomycetales; Saccharomycetaceae.
UCCAAUCCUGCAUGUCUAGUAUAAGCAAUUUAUACUGUGAAACUGCGAAUGGCUCAUUAAAUCAGUUAUCGUUUAUUUGAUAGUUCCUUUACUACAUGGUAUAACUGUGGUAAUUCUAGAGCUAAUACAUGCUUAAAAUCUCGACCCUUUGGAAGAGAUGUAUUUAUUAGAUAAAAAAUCAAUGUCUUCGGACUCUUUGAUGAUUCAUAAUAACUUUUCGAAUCGCAUGGCCUUGUGCUGGCGAUGGUUCAUUCAAAUUUCUGCCCUAUCAACUUUCGAUGGUAGGAUAGUGGCCUACCAUGGUUUCAACGGGUAACGGGGAAUAAGGGUUCGAUUCCGGAGAGGGAGCCUGAGAAACGGCUACCACAUCCAAGGAAGGCAGCAGGCGCGCAAAUUACCCAAUCCUAAUUCAGGGAGGUAGUGACAAUAAAUAACGAUACAGGGCCCAUUCGGGUCUUGUAAUUGGAAUGAGUACAAUGUAAAUACCUUAACGAGGAACAAUUGGAGGGCAAGUCUGGUGCCAGCAGCCGCGGUAAUUCCAGCUCCAAUAGCGUAUAUUAAAGUUGUUGCAGUUAAAAAGCUCGUAGUUGAACUUUGGGCCCGGUUGGCCGGUCCGAUUUUUUCGUGUACUGGAUUUCCAACGGGGCCUUUCCUUCUGGCUAACCUUGAGUCCCUUGUGGCUCUUGGCGAACCAGGACUUUUACUUUGAAAAAAUUAGAGUGUUCAAAGCAGGCGUAUUGCUCGAAUAUAUUAGCAUGGAAUAAUAGAAUAGGACGUUUGGUUCUAUUUUGUUGGUUUCUAGGACCAUCGUAAUGAUUAAUAGGGACGGUCGGGGGCAUCAGUAUUCAAUUGUCCGAGGUGAAAUUCUUGGAUUUAUUGAAGACUAACAACUGCUAAAG